GAUGAAGAACGUAGCGAAAUGCGAUAAGUAAUGUGAAUUGCAGAAUUCAGUGAAUCAUCGAAUCUUUGAACGCUCAUUGCGCCAGCUAGUAAUCUGGCGGGCAUGCCUGUUCGAGCGUCAUUUCAACCAUCAAGCCCUGUUUAGGCUUGUGUUGGGGCCCUGCGGUUGCCGCAGCCCCCUAAAUGCAGUGGCGGGCUCGUUGUCACUCCGAGCGCAGUAGCGUAUCACGCUCUGGGCGUGGCGGCGGGUGCUAGCCGUGAAACACCCACUAAGGUUGACCUCGGAUCAGGUAGGAAUACCCGCUGAACUUAAGCAUAUCAAUAAGCGGAGGA
This 332-nucleotide unclassified non-coding RNA is filed under the name soil metagenome. RNAcentral describes it as "partial contains 5.8S ribosomal RNA, internal transcribed spacer 2, and large subunit ribosomal RNA". The stretch from base 1 to 120 matches the Rfam family "5.8S ribosomal RNA", at positions 35 to 154 of the family's 154-position model. The record is from RNAcentral.